GAGACAGCAGUGCCGCGGUAAUACGAAGGGGGCUAGCGUUGUUCGGAUUUACUGGGCGUAAAGGGCGCGUAGGCGGACUGAUAAGUCAGGGGUGAAAUCCCAAGGCUCAACCUUGGAACUGCCUUUGAUACUGUUUGUCUUGAGUUCGAGAGAGGUAAGUGGAACUGCGAGUGUAGAGGUGAAAUUCGUAGAUAUUCGCAAGAACACCAGUGGCGAAGGCGGCUUACUGGCUCGAAACUGACGCUGAGGCGCGAAAGCGUGGGGAGCAAACAGGAUUAGAUACCCCCGUAGUCCCUGUCUCUUAUACA
Molecule: ribosomal RNA, 308 nt
Filed under: uncultured bacterium
Lineage: Bacteria
Description: partial 16S ribosomal RNA
Rfam family: Bacterial small subunit ribosomal RNA
Source: RNAcentral